This is a small nucleolar RNA of Engraulis encrasicolus (European anchovy), 123 nucleotides long. RefSeq annotates it as small nucleolar RNA SNORA26. The record is from RefSeq and is a predicted model, not a curated record. Lineage: Eukaryota; Metazoa; Chordata; Actinopteri; Clupeiformes; Engraulidae. The transcript has a single exon.
UUGCUCAUUUAAGACUAAUCAGUGUCUUGAGUGUGGAACACAGGGGGGUAGAGUAGUUCUCUCAAAAAACCUAAAGUAAAGGCUAUACACUCCUUACUUUGGAUCCUGUCGGAAGAAACACUU